AGCAGCCGCGGUAAUUCCAGCUCCAAUAGCGUAUAUUAAAGUUGUUGCAGUUAAAAAGCUCGUAGUUGAAUUUCGGAAUUUGUCGGUUGGUCGGGCUUCACUGUCCGCACUGGCCUGAUGGAUUCCUACCUUCUGAAUAACCAGCAUGCUAUUAAGUUAGUGCGUUGGGGAAGCAGAGCUAUUACCUUGAAAAAUUAGAGUGCUUAAAGCAGGCUUGUGCUUGAAUAGAUUAGCAUGGAAUAAUAAAAUAGGACGGCAUGGUUCUAUUUUGUUGGUUUCUAGGAUCACCGUAAUGAUUAAUAGGGAUAGUUGGGGGCAUUAGUAUUCAAUUGUCAGAGGUGAAAUUCUUGGAUUUAUUGAAGACUAACUUCUGCGAAAGCAUUUGCCAAGGAUGUUUUCAUUAAUCAAGAACGAAAGUUAGGGGAUCGAAGACGAUCAGAUACCGUCGUAGUCUUAACCAUAAACUAUGCCGACUAGGGAUCGGACGAUGUUAAUUUUUAAUGACUCGUUCGGCGUACCG
RNAcentral lists this ribosomal RNA (520 nucleotides) under uncultured Acaulospora. Its description in RNAcentral is "SSU rRNA". It matches the Rfam family "Eukaryotic small subunit ribosomal RNA", at positions 569 to 1088 of the family's 1831-position model. Lineage: Eukaryota; Fungi; Glomeromycota; Glomeromycetes; Diversisporales; Acaulosporaceae. The record is from RNAcentral.